AUCAACUUUCGAUGGUAGGAUAGAGGCCUACCAUGGUGGUAACGGGUAACGGGGUGUUAGGUCACGACACCGGAGAGGGAGCUGAGAAACGGCUACCACAUCCAAGGAUGGCAGCAGGCGCGCAAAUUACCCAAUCCCGACACGGGGAGGUAGUGACAAUAAAUAACAAUACGGGGUUCUUUCGGAUUUCGUAAUUGGAAUGAGUACAAUUUAAAUCUCUUAACGAGGAACAAUUGGAGGGCAAGUCUGGUGCCAGCAGCCGCGGUAAUUCCAGCUCCAAUAGCGUAUAUUAAAGUUGCUGCAGUUAAAAAGCUCGUAGUUGAAUUUCGGGAUCAAUAUGUUGGUCGUGCCUCGGUACGUACUAGCUUAUUGGUUUCUCCCUUCUGACGAACCAUGAUGUCAUUUAUUUGGUGUUAUGGGAAAUCAGGACUGUUACUUUGAAAAAAUUAGAGUGUUUAAAGCAGGCUCACGCUUGAAUACAUUAGCAUGGAAUAAUGAAAUAGGACGUUUGAUUCUAUUUUGUUGGUUUCUAGGAUCGACGUAAUGAUUAAUAGGGAUAGUUGGGGGCAUUAGUAUUCAAUUGUCAGAGGUGAAAUUCUUGGAUUUAUUGAAGACUAACUACUGCGAAAGCAUUUGCCAAGGAUGUUUUCAUUAAUCAAGAACGAAAGUUAGGGGAUCGAAGACGAUCAGAUACCGUCGUAGUCUUAACCAUAAACUAUGCCGACUAGGGAUCGGAUGAUGUUAAUUUUUUAAUGACUCAUUCGGCGCCUUACGGGAAACCAAAGUGUUUGGGUUC
RNAcentral lists this ribosomal RNA (796 nucleotides) under uncultured Glomeromycotina. RNAcentral describes it as "SSU rRNA". It matches the Rfam family "Eukaryotic small subunit ribosomal RNA", at positions 314 to 1114 of the family's 1831-position model. Lineage: Eukaryota; Fungi; Glomeromycota. The record is from RNAcentral.